RNAcentral lists this ribosomal RNA (744 nucleotides) under uncultured bacterium. RNAcentral's name for it is "bacterial SSU rRNA". It matches the Rfam family "Bacterial small subunit ribosomal RNA", at positions 8 to 796 of the family's 1533-position model. The record is from RNAcentral.
AGAGUUUGAUCAUGGCUCAGAGCGAACGCUGGCGGCAGGCUUAACACAUGCAAGUCGAGCGGGCGUAGCAAUACGUCAGCGGCAGACGGGUGAGUAACGCGUGGGAACGUACCUUUUGGUUCGGAACAACACAGGGAAACUUGUGCUAAUACCGGAUAAGCCCUUACGGGGAAAGAUUUAUCGCCGAAAGAUCGGCCCGCGUCUGAUUAGCUAGUUGGUGAGGUAACGGCUCACCAAGGCGACGAUCAGUAGCUGGUCUGAGAGGAUGAUCAGCCACAUUGGGACUGAGACACGGCCCAAACUCCUACGGGAGGCAGCAGUGGGGAAUAUUGGACAAUGGGCGCAAGCCUGAUCCAGCCAUGCCGCGUGAGUGAUGAAGGCCCUAGGGUUGUAAAGCUCUUUUGUGCGGGAAGAUAAUGACGGUACCGCAAGAAUAAGCCCCGGCUAACUUCGUGCCAGCAGCCGCGGUAAUACGAAGGGGGCUAGCGUUGCUCGGAAUCACUGGGCGUAAAGGGUGCGUAGGCGGGUCUUUAAGUCAGGGGUGAAAUCCUGGAGCUCAACUCCAGAACUGCCUUUGAUACUGAGGAUCUUGAGUUCGGGAGAGGUGAGUGGAACUGCGAGUGUAGAGGUGAAAUUCGUAGAUAUUCGCAAGAACACCAGUGGCGAAGGCGGCUCACUGGCCCGAUACUGACGCUGAGGCACGAAAGCGUGGGGAGCAAACAGGAUUAGAUACCCCAGUAGUCC